UACGGAGGGUGCGAGCGUUGUUCGGAAUCACUGGGCGUAAAGCGCGUGUAGGCGGCCUUUUAAGUCUGAUGUGAAAGCCCGGGGCUUACCCCCGGAAGUGCAUUGGAAACUGGGGGGCUAGAGUACCGGAGAGGAAGGUGGAAUUCCUGGUGUAGCGGUGAAAUGCGUAGAUAUCAGGAGGAACACCGGUGGCGAAGGCGGCCUUCUGGACGGAUACUGACGCUGAGACGCGAAAGCGUGGGGAGCAAACAGG
This 253-nucleotide ribosomal RNA is filed under the name uncultured bacterium. Its description in RNAcentral is "partial 16S ribosomal RNA". It matches the Rfam family "Bacterial small subunit ribosomal RNA", at positions 524 to 776 of the family's 1533-position model. The record is from RNAcentral.